RNAcentral lists this ribosomal RNA (442 nucleotides) under uncultured bacterium. Its description in RNAcentral is "bacterial SSU rRNA". It matches the Rfam family "Bacterial small subunit ribosomal RNA", at positions 958 to 1397 of the family's 1533-position model. The record is from RNAcentral.
AACGCGAAGAACCUUACCAAGGCUUGACAUCUGAGGAAAUUUCCAGAAAUGGAAAUGUGCCCGCAAGGGAACCUCAAGACAGGUGGUGCAUGGCUGUCGUCAGCUCGUGUCGUGAGAUGUUGGGUUAAGUCCCGCAACGAGCGCAACCCUUGUCCGAUGUUACCAGCGGGUUAUGCCGGGGACUCGUCGGAGACUGCCGGGGUCAACUCGGAGGAAGGUGGGGAUGACGUCAAGUCAUCAUGCCCCUUACGUCCAGGGCUGCACACAUGCUACAAUGGCCGGUACAACGGGCUGCUAUCCCGCGAGGGGGAGCCAAUCCCAAAAGCCGGUCUCAGUUCGGAUUGCAGUCUGCAACUCGACUGCAUGAAGUCGGAGUCGCUAGUAAUCCCGGAUCAGCAACGCCGGGGUGAAUACGUUCCCGGGCCUUGUACACACCGAUAGC